Molecule: non-coding RNA, 795 nt
Organism: Odocoileus virginianus texanus
Lineage: Eukaryota; Metazoa; Chordata; Mammalia; Artiodactyla; Cervidae
Source: RefSeq, a predicted model, not a curated record
GUAAACGUGACUCUUCCCACCAAGGAAGAAUUGAACUUUCUCAGCACCAGUCCUGGUUGGCUUUGGUGCAUUAGCUAUGUUUCAUACCCUUAAACAUCAACACAGAAUCACCUAAGAAUAUUGGACUUAAAGAGGACAAGAUAACUGGAGGCUUGCUUUCUCCCCUGAUGCAAUUCUCAAGAUUCUACAUGUUUGUUAGAGGUGCUGAUGUUUUUGCUCUUCAGAUGCUCAACAAUAUGGAUUCAAACUAGAAGGGUGUUAGUGCUAUGAAACUUACAACAGAUUUAAAUUCCAACCAAGACACUACAGAAAAAACUUCCAAGCAUGACCUUGUCUUCUCAGUGUCUGAGUAAGAACACAUGUACCUCUGGGACAUCACUGACCACUGCAUCUGAAAUAAGGUUGUCGUCUACAAGACUCACUUCUAAGCCUCCAAGUAAAAUGUCAACAAGAUCCUGCAUGUCUCAGCAAAGAUCCCAGAAGACAAGCCAUGCAUCUCUGCUGCACGCAGACCCACAGGGAGUGGGGCUCUGGGCCUGGGUCUCACGGGGAAGGUCUAGUCCACACAGUGAUGCUUCUGCCUGUCUGCCUGCUUGGAGGAGGUACUGGGGGGAACUACCUCACUUCUAAAUGUCUAGGUGUUGGGCUCUCUAAAUAAGGAGUUUGAGACUAAACCAGGCUUGAUAGAAGGGGACACUGUUUCUCUUACCUUUGAACCUUAUCUCCUUCCCUUUUCUCUCUCUUUUCUGCUUUUUGCUACUUUUCCUGCCUCCAAACCCCAAGUGCCCUACAGAC